AACAAAUCCUAUGAAUUUCUGACUCCAGCAAUGGCUUGUCUAGAUUAAUUUUCAUCAAUAUACCGCCAUCUGAGACUUUGUCUAAUUUGUUAACAAUUUUCUCAAUUAAUUCAUCAGUUUGGCAAUUGGUUAUCUUUGAGACAGCUUCAAAGAAACAAGCAUUCUUUCGAGUCCCAGCCUUCCUCCUUUCCUCUUCCUUUAUUUCAUUUACUUUACUAACUGAGGAGCAACAUGGUUUAUUUUUAUUUUUUUCUUUUAAAAAAUUAUUUUCUCUCCCCAAGAUUCCACUCUGGUGUAGGAUUGGCAAUUUGCCUUUCUUAUUCUCAAUAAGCUCAACCAAUCCCGAUUCUUUGUUUUUUUCUUUCCUCGAUUUCUCCUUUUCAUCCACCCCUAUCCUAGGUUCACUUUCCCCUCCCUUAUUGAGUUUAAGUGCAUUGCUCAAUUCCUUCUGUACAUGAGUCGUGUGAGUUUCAGACUCUCCAACCCUUGA
Molecule: unclassified non-coding RNA, 490 nt
Filed under: Hevea brasiliensis (rubber tree)
Lineage: Eukaryota; Viridiplantae; Streptophyta; Magnoliopsida; Malpighiales; Euphorbiaceae
Source: RNAcentral